RNAcentral lists this ribosomal RNA (1352 nucleotides) under metagenome. RNAcentral's name for it is "bacterial LSU rRNA". It matches the Rfam family "Bacterial large subunit ribosomal RNA", at positions 1564 to 2925 of the family's 2925-position model. The record is from RNAcentral.
UGACGACGAGACGCUAAGGCGUUGAAGCAGUGUACGUCAGACUUCCAAGAAAAGCUCGCAAUGUCAUAGAUAAAAAAUGCCUGUACCAUAACCGACACAGGUGGGUAGGUAGAGUAUACUAAGGGGCGCGAGAUAACUCUCUCUAAGGAACUCGGCAAAAUGACUCCGUAACUUCGGGAGAAGGAGUGCCUUAUUUAUAAGGUUGCAAUAACAAGAUCCAAGCAACUGUUUAUCAAAAACACAGGUCUCCGCUAAGUCGUAAGACGAUGUAUGGGGGCUGACGCCUGCCCAGUGCCAGAAGGUUAAAGAAGUUGGUUAGUGUAUGCGAAGCUGAUGACUGAAGCCCUGGUGAACGGCGGCCGUAACUAUAACGGUCCUAAGGUAGCGAAAUUCCUUGUCGGGUAAGUUCCGACCCGCACGAAAGGCGUAAUGAUUUGGAUACUGUCUCGGAGAGAGGCUCGGUGAAAUAGACUUGUCUGUGAAGAUGCGGACUACCUGCACCAGGACAGAAAGACCCUAUGAAGCUUUACUGUAACUUGAAAUUGGAAUUGGACUUUGCUUGCGCAGUAUAGGUGGGAAGCGUUGAAGAUAUUCUUGCGGGAGUAUUGGAGCUAUCAGUGAGAUACCACUCUUGUAAUGUUAGAUUUCUAACUUUGAACCAUAAUCUGGUCAAAGAACAGUUUCAGGUGGGCAGUUUGACUGGGGCGGUCGCCUCCCAAAUGGUAACGGAGGCGUACAAAGGUUUCCUCUGAACGGAUAGAAAUCGUAUCUAGAGUGUAAAGGCAUAAGGAAGCUUGACUGUGAGACCUACAAGUCGAGCAGGGACGAAAGUCGGUCUUAGUGAUCUGACGGUACUGAGUGGAAAGGCCGUCACUCAACGGAUAAAAGUUACUCUAAGGAUAACAGGCUGAUCUCCCCCAAGAGUUCACAUCGACGGGGAGGUUUGGCACCUCGAUGUCGGCUCAUCGCAUCCUGGGGCGGUAGUACGUCCCAAGGGUUGGGCUGUUCGCCCAUGAAAGCGGUACGCGAGCUGGGUUCAGAACGUCGUGAGACAGUUCGGUCCAUAUCCGGUGUAGGCGUUAGAAUAUUGAGAGGAGCCUUCUUUAGUACGAGAGGACCGAGAAGGACACACCGCUGGUGUACCAGUUAUCGUGCCAACGGUAAACGCUGGGUAGCUAUGUGUGGAGUGGAUAACCGCUGAAAGCAUCUAAGUGGGAAGCCCACCUCAAGAUGAGUAUUCACAAAAAAAGGAAAAAAGAAGAAGAUAGAGCGACAGGCAAGUUAAGGCGAACCGUAUCGGAAACCAUCUUCAUCUUUGCCCCCCUAGAUCGGAAGAGCACACGUCUGAACUC